This 203-nucleotide unclassified non-coding RNA is filed under the name Hevea brasiliensis (rubber tree). The record is from RNAcentral. Lineage: Eukaryota; Viridiplantae; Streptophyta; Magnoliopsida; Malpighiales; Euphorbiaceae.
GCCCUUGUCAUUCUUAUUGGAAACUUCACUUGAGGCAUCUUGGUCUUCAUGCAGCUUGACAGAAUUUCCAAGAAGGCAAUCUGUUUGAUGCGGGAACCCUUCUUGCAGUCUCUCGAUAAGCAAGAUCAUUUGGAGAACCCUAAACAGAGGCAUGAGUAGGAAAAAUUGGAAAUGGUAGAAAUUUAAAAGUAAUUGCAGCAAAA